This 255-nucleotide ribosomal RNA is filed under the name Salmonella enterica subsp. enterica serovar Weltevreden. Its description in RNAcentral is "partial 23S ribosomal RNA". It matches the Rfam family "Bacterial large subunit ribosomal RNA", at positions 2062 to 2316 of the family's 2925-position model. RNAcentral also lists the same sequence under 1 other name. Lineage: Bacteria; Pseudomonadati; Pseudomonadota; Gammaproteobacteria; Enterobacterales; Enterobacteriaceae. The record is from RNAcentral.
CAGUGUACCCGCGGCAAGACGGAAAGACCCCGUGAACCUUUACUAUAGCUUGACACUGAACAUUGAGCCUUGAUGUGUAGGAUAGGUGGGAGGCUUUGAAGUGUGGACGCCAGUCUGCAUGGAGCCGGCCUUGAAAUACCACCCUUUAAUGUUUGAUGUUCUAACGUGGACCCGUGAUCCGGGUUGCGGACAGUGUCUGGUGGGUAGUUUGACUGGGGCGGUCUCCUCCUAAAGAGUAACGGAGGAGCACGAAGG